UACGAGGGGGGCAAGCGUUGUUCGGAAUUAUUGGGCGUAAAGGGUGCGUAGGCGGUUUUGUAAGUCUUGUGUGAAAUCUUCAGGCUCAACUUGAAGACUGCACGAGAAACUGCAGGGCUUGAGUGUGGGAGAGGUGAGUGGAAUUCCCAGUGUAGAGGUGAAAUUCGUAGAUAUUGGGAAGAACACCGGUGGCGAAGGCGGCUCACUGGCCAGUUUCUGACGCUGUAGCGCGAAAGCGUGGGGAUCAAACAGG
Molecule: ribosomal RNA, 253 nt
Filed under: uncultured bacterium
Lineage: Bacteria
Description: partial 16S ribosomal RNA
Rfam family: Bacterial small subunit ribosomal RNA
Source: RNAcentral